This 450-nucleotide ribosomal RNA is filed under the name uncultured bacterium. RNAcentral describes it as "partial 16S ribosomal RNA". It matches the Rfam family "Bacterial small subunit ribosomal RNA", at positions 354 to 796 of the family's 1533-position model. The record is from RNAcentral.
GUGGGGAAUAUUGCGCAAUGGGCGAAAGCCUGACGCAGCGACGCCGCGUGAGGGAUGAAGGUUUUCGGAUCGUAAACCUCUGUCAGAAGGGAAGAAACUACAUUGUGCUAAUCAGCAGUGUACUGACGGUACCUUCAAAGGAAGCACCGGCUAACUCCGUGCCAGCAGCCACGGUAAUACGGAGGGUGCAAGCGUUAAUCGGAAUUACUGGGCGUAAAGCGCACGUAGGCUGUAGUGUAAGUCAGGGGUGAAAUCCCACGGCUCAACCGUGGAACUGCCUUUGAUACUGCACAACUUGAAUCCGGGAGAGGGUGGCGGAAUUCCAGGUGUAGGAGUGAAAUCCGUAGAUAUCUGGAGGAACAUCAGUGGCGAAGGCGGCCACCUGGACCGGUAUUGACGCUGAGGUGCGAAAGCGUGGGGAGCAAACAGGAUUAGAAACCCCAGUAGUCC